This 253-nucleotide ribosomal RNA is filed under the name uncultured bacterium. RNAcentral describes it as "partial 16S ribosomal RNA". It matches the Rfam family "Bacterial small subunit ribosomal RNA", at positions 524 to 776 of the family's 1533-position model. The record is from RNAcentral.
UACGUAGGUGGCAAGCGUUGUCCGGAUUUACUGGGCGUAAAGCGCGUGCAGGCGGUUUGGUAAGUCGUGCGUGAAAGCCCCCGGCUCAACCGGGGAGGGUCGUCGGGGACCGCACCGCUUGAGGGCGGUAGGGGCUGGUGGAAUGCCUGGUGUAGUGGUGAAAUGCGUAGAGAUCAGGCGGAACACCCGUGGCGAAGGCGGCCAGCUGGGCCGUCCCUGACGCUGAGGCGCGAAGGCGUGGGGAGCGAACGGG